This 535-nucleotide ribosomal RNA is filed under the name Latilactobacillus sakei subsp. sakei. RNAcentral describes it as "bacterial SSU rRNA". It matches the Rfam family "Bacterial small subunit ribosomal RNA", at positions 373 to 901 of the family's 1533-position model. The record is from RNAcentral. Lineage: Bacteria; Bacillati; Bacillota; Bacilli; Lactobacillales; Lactobacillaceae.
GGACGAAGUCUGAUGGAGCACGCCGCGUGAGUGAAGAAGGUUUUCGGAUCGUAAAACUCUGUUGUUGGAGAAGAAUGUAUCUGAUAGUAACUGAUCAGGUAGUGACGGUAUCCAACCAGAAAGCCACGGCUAACUACGUGCCAGCAGCCGCGGUAAUACGUAGGUGGCAAGCGUUGUCCGGAUUUAUUGGGCGUAAAGCGAGCGCAGGCGGUUUCUUAAGUCUGAUGUGAAAGCCUUCGGCUCAACCGAAGAAGUGCAUCGGAAACUGGGAAACUUGAGUGCAGAAGAGGACAGUGGAACUCCAUGUGUAGCGGUGAAAUGCGUAGAUAUAUGGAAGAACACCAGUGGCGAAGGCGGCUGUCUGGUCUGUAACUGACGCUGAGGCUCGAAAGCAUGGGUAGCAAACAGGAUUAGAUACCCUGGUAGUCCAUGCCGUAAACGAUGAGUGCUAGGUGUUGGAGGGUUUCCGCCCUUCAGUGCCGCAGCUAACGCAUUAAGCACUCCGCCUGGGGAGUACGACCGCAAGGUUGAAACU